GACCCCGGAGGGUCCGAACUGUCUCAGCGGAGAAAGGGGACAUAGUGUGCUGGCGGGCGCUGGCUGUUGGCGUUAGAGCUCCGGCUGUGGCUCAGUCUGGGGCGCGGUUCUUGCCAACACACCAUGUCCAGAGACAGCUGACAAAAAAAACUAAAUUGAAACCAGCUCUGGAUGGGAUAACAACACAGGGUCAUACUUACUUUACGGCAGGCACGUUAUUCGCCUUCUUACUCGCACUUACCGCUAUGGAUUCGCUCUUCAGGGGGCACUGAGACAUCCUACAGUGCCCUGGACGGCCCACCCCAACCAUGGUAUCCGUUGUCCAACAGUUUUGGAUACCCCAGAAUCGUCUCCCCGUUCCCCCUCUACAGCAUGGUGCACUACCCCUUCCUUACCUUAAUGAUCUACUCUUCCAUAGCGAAAUGAGAAUACUAAGCCAAGUGGAAUUUCAUUUCUACGUUAUAAAAGAAAAGUGCCUUUGUUGCGUCUGUCAGAUCGCCGGACUGGAAUGCUUCGACGACGGCUCCCCUGGAUAGCAAGACAAUUUGGUAGCGGAGGUGCCCUGGAUCUCCCUUUUUAUGUUCUUGCCAACCUGCAGGGACAACAUUAAACGACCAAAGGGUCUUUUAUUUAAAGUGUAUUCCUAGUGCCCUAGAAUGAGCUCACCCUACUUCCUAGGUUGUAUCGUCCGUUCAAUCACCGGACUGCAGAUAUGAAACCCAAUGUCUACCCUGUUUGCUGCCUAAGUUAUUCUGUUUUCUUUUUUUUUAUUUCUUAUAUUUUUAUUCCAGGAUGUGUGUCAAGCUAAGUUUCUCUGUGUAUCGUUCUAAGUAUUGAACAUAUAAAAAGGAGCAUACAUCGGCCUACCUUGGCACCUACGGGCUGCUGGUGCAAAAUUCCCUCGGGGACACUGGAGCAGAUGGCGGCGGUGGAACCAAUGAUGAAGCUGGAGAUGCUGAUGAGAUGAUGAUGUUGUUGAGGAUGGAAAUGUUGACGUUGCCGUGGAUGACGAUGGUUAAAAUUGCAGUAGAGGUGGGUAUUUAUUAUUUGACAAAAAGUUUUUGUUGUUCUGUUUAGUCUUUGCUAUGUUUUAUUCGUGGCUCAAAUUAACGUUCUUUUUCAAAGCUUUUUAUAUUUCACAGGAUCUUUUUUCCUUAGCAUUAAUUAGCACUAAUAAGUUUAUUUAGCUUUAAGUUGAUCUAAAGUAACUUCAGCUUUUUUACUACAAAAGCUAGUCUUUAUUCCUUUCACAAAAAAAGGAACAUUU
Molecule: long non-coding RNA, 1267 nt
Organism: Stomoxys calcitrans (stable fly)
Lineage: Eukaryota; Metazoa; Arthropoda; Insecta; Diptera; Muscidae
Exons: 3
Source: RefSeq, a predicted model, not a curated record